CUAAGGAAUAUUUCCGGCAAUGGACGAAAGUCCGACGGAGCGACGCCGCGUGGAUGAUGAAGGUCGGAAGAUUGUAAAAUCCUUUUAUAACUGAGGAAUAAGCAGUGUGAGAGAAACGCAUUGUGGUGACUGUAGGUUAUGAAUAAGCAACGGCUAAUUACGUGCCAGCAGCCGCGGUAACACGUAAGUUGCGAGCGUUGUUCGGAAUUAUUGGGCGUAAAGGGCAUGUAGGCGGUUUUGCAAGCUUGGUGUGAAAUUCCGGAGCUCAACUCCGGAACUGCGUUGAGAACUGCAUAACUAGAGUCACUGAGGGGCAAUC
Molecule: ribosomal RNA, 319 nt
Filed under: uncultured Treponema sp.
Lineage: Bacteria; Pseudomonadati; Spirochaetota; Spirochaetia; Treponematales; Treponemataceae
Description: bacterial SSU rRNA
Rfam family: Bacterial small subunit ribosomal RNA
Source: RNAcentral